This 454-nucleotide ribosomal RNA is filed under the name Acinetobacter baumannii. Its description in RNAcentral is "bacterial SSU rRNA". It matches the Rfam family "Bacterial small subunit ribosomal RNA", at positions 68 to 516 of the family's 1533-position model. Lineage: Bacteria; Pseudomonadati; Pseudomonadota; Gammaproteobacteria; Moraxellales; Moraxellaceae. The record is from RNAcentral.
GGGGGAAGGUAGCUUGCUACUGGACCUAGCGGCGGACGGGUGAGUAAUGCUUAGGAAUCUGCCUAUUAGUGGGGGACAACAUCUCGAAAGGGAUGCUAAUACCGCAUACGUCCUACGGGAGAAAGCAGGGGAUCUUCGGACCUUGCGCUAAUAGAUGAGCCUAAGUCGGAUUAGCUAGUUGGUGGGGUAAAGGCCUACCAAGGCGACGAUCUGUAGCGGGUCUGAGAGGAUGAUCCGCCACACUGGGACUGAGACACGGCCCAGACUCCUACGGGAGGCAGCAGUGGGGAAUAUUGGACAAUGGGGGGAACCCUGAUCCAGCCAUGCCGCGUGUGUGAAGAAGGCCUUAUGGUUGUAAAGCACUUUAAGCGAGGAGGAGGCUACUUUAGUUAAUACCUAGAGAUAGUGGACGUUACUCGCAGAAUAAGCACCGGCUAACUCUGUGCCAGCCCCC